Molecule: ribosomal RNA, 451 nt
Filed under: uncultured bacterium
Lineage: Bacteria
Also listed under: 1 other name
Description: bacterial SSU rRNA
Rfam family: Bacterial small subunit ribosomal RNA
Source: RNAcentral
GUAGGGAAUCUUCCGCAAUGGACGAAAGUCUGACGGAGCAACGCCGCGUGAGUGAUGAAGGCUUUCGGGUCGUAAAACUCUGUUGUUAGGGAAGAACAAGUGCUAGUUGAAUAAGCUGGCACCUUGACGGUACCUAACCAGAAAGCCACGGCUAACUACGUGCCAGCAGCCGCGGUAAUACGUAGGUGGCAAGCGUUAUCCGGAAUUAUUGGGCGUAAAGCGCGCGCAGGUGGUUUCUUAAGUCUGAUGUGAAAGCCCACGGCUCAACCGUGGAGGGUCAUUGGAAACUGGGAGACUUGAGUGCAGAAGAGGAAAGUGGAAUUCCAUGUGUAGCGGUGAAAUGCGUAGAGAUAUGGAGGAACACCAGUGGCGAAGGCGACUUUCUGGUCUGUAACUGACACUGAGGCGCGAAAGCGUGGGGAGCAAACAGGAUUAGAAACCCCAGUAGUCC